AACUCUGUGAAGAGGAUCUCAGGGCGCCA
This 29-nucleotide small RNA is filed under the name Bombyx mori (domestic silkworm). RNAcentral describes it as "ovarian small RNA-10441". The record is from RNAcentral. Lineage: Eukaryota; Metazoa; Arthropoda; Insecta; Lepidoptera; Bombycidae.